GGGGCAUUAGCUCAGCUGGGAGAGCGCUUGCAUGGCAUGCAAGAGGUCAGCGGUUCGAACCCGCUAUGCUCCA
This 73-nucleotide transfer RNA is filed under the name Heyndrickxia coagulans. Its description in RNAcentral is "tRNA-Ala (GGC) (tRNA-Ala-GGC-1-1)". It matches the Rfam family "tRNA". From Rfam's summary of the family: Transfer RNA (tRNA) molecules are approximately 80 nucleotides in length. Their secondary structure includes four short double-helical elements and three loops (D, anti-codon, and T loops). Lineage: Bacteria; Bacillati; Bacillota; Bacilli; Caryophanales; Bacillaceae. RNAcentral also lists the same sequence under 9 other names. The record is from RNAcentral.